GGGAGGUAGUGACAAUAAAUAACAAUACGGGGUUCUUUCGGAUUUCGUAAUUGGAAUGAGUACAAUUUAAAUACUCUUAACGAGGAACAAUUGGAGGGCAAGUCUGGUGCCAGCAGCCGCGGUAAUUCCAGCUCCAAUAGCGUAUAUUAAAGUUGCUGCAGUUAAAAAGCUCGUAGUUGAAUUUCGGGACCAUCAUGUCGGUCGUGCCUCGGUACGUACUGGCAUUGUUGGUUUCUCCCUUCUGACGAACCAUGAUGUCAUUUAUUUGGUGUUGUGGGGAAUCAGGACUGUUACUUUGAAAAAAUUAGAGUGUUUAAAGCAGGCUCACGCUUGAAUACAUUAGCAUGGAAUAAUGAAAUAGGACGUUUGAUUCUAUUUUGUUGGCUUCUAGGAUCGACGUAAUGAUUAAUAGGGAUAGUUGGG
This 423-nucleotide ribosomal RNA is filed under the name uncultured Glomeraceae. Its description in RNAcentral is "SSU rRNA". It matches the Rfam family "Eukaryotic small subunit ribosomal RNA", at positions 459 to 886 of the family's 1831-position model. Lineage: Eukaryota; Fungi; Glomeromycota; Glomeromycetes; Glomerales; Glomeraceae. The record is from RNAcentral.